RNAcentral lists this long non-coding RNA (3839 nucleotides) under Homo sapiens (human). RNAcentral's name for it is "non-protein coding CCDC18-AS1:44". The record is from RNAcentral. Lineage: Eukaryota; Metazoa; Chordata; Mammalia; Primates; Hominidae.
GGGGGCCCGAGGAUUCUAGAGAGAGCACAGCCCAGGCACAGUGGGAGUCGCAGUGGCUGCCGCCGUGGCCGCGUAGCCCGAACGCAGAUCGUGGAAGCCGAAGACGCGGCAACGGUGGUCCCUCCAGAUGCCAGGGAAGGUUUGCAGGAAGCCGCUCCCGACACCCUUUGCGCCACCGGAAGCCUCGUUCCCUCAGAUUUCCCCCUCCCUCCCGGACCGACUUCCGGGUGUGGCUGCCGCCCUUCCCCCACCCACGCCGGCGGGAGCCGCCCGUUCGCGCUGCCAGCAGCUUCCGCCUGCUACGGUCCUGGCAAGCACCUCGGGAUCCCAUUCCUUCACAGGGACCCUAGCCAGUUAAAGCUGAUACAUUCCUGUGGGUCAACUAUGCAACUAACUCAGAUUUUGAGCAAACAAAGCUCUCAAGUUGGUGAUCCUCAGGAGUCUCUGCAUUAGUUGGACAGCUCUUCUGGAAUUAUCUUCUAAGUCAACUGUGGGUUGGGUAGGUGGCUCUGCUGAUUUUUCGCUGGACUUCCACAUUUGGGACGAGUUGGCUGUCAUCAGCUCUAGAAAGGGUGUGGCCGUUUUACAUUGGCUGUUUUCCUCACAUUCCUCAAGCAGGUACUGUAAUAAAGAACUGGAGAAAUACAGUCAGAUGGGAAGUAGCCCUUGCUGUCAAGGAGCUUGCCAUCUAAUGGGGGAGACAGGCAAGUAAACCAAAGACUACACAGUGCAGUAUGGUAAGUGCCAUGAUUUUGAUGUGACAGGGCACAGUGGACGACCUUCCAAAUCAAAGCAAGUAACUAGGGGUUGACAAUGGUAAGUAUCAUAGUUGAAGUAUCCUUGAACAAGGUUUCAGGAAGAAGAAGAAGGGAAUUUCAUGCAGGGAAACAGCCAAAGCUCAGUGAGUCAAAAUAUCACAGCAUUCUUGGUAAGCCCAAUUGUUUUUUCUGUUUUGCUAUUUUGGUGGAGAGAAAGGAACACAUAAAGGAAUAACAUGAGAGAAGGCUAUUUGGGGAAGUGUAGUAGUUAAGGUUCUGGCUCAAACAACAACUGCAGCUCAUAAAGUUGACUUUAGUGGAAGGAUACUGGGGUAUCUCAUGGAAUCUUGGGAACUGUUGAAUAACCAGGGAAACUCUGGGAAACUCACUGGUAGGAAUCCAUAAACUGUCCUCCUGGUGGGCUGUAAACAACUCACCCUCUAUGCAUCUCACAUCAAAAUUCCAGUUUCUUGGGAAAACAAGUCUGUUUGCCCAAUUUGGGUCAUAUUUCCACGUCCAUGUUACUCAGGCAUGAUUCAUCUGCAAGUUAUGUGUAUAGAUAUUUUGCUACUGUUCCACCCUUACGCUGUGCUGGGGAGGGAGGUGUCACUGUGAGCUGUGUCGGUGCCUUAAGAGAUAUCUGUUGUGUCUUAUUACUUGGUUGCUUUUCCCCACAUGUACAAUGACAAAAAUGCCUUCAACCUAUUUGAUCCAGCCGUUCCAGUACAACUCCUAUACUUGCCAUCUUUCCAAGCCCAAAGGUACAUCCAGCUGAUGGAAGGAGCAUCUUGGUGUUAAUAUUCUUUUAGUCAUGGUCUCUGAAAGUAAAAUGUCUAUUCUUCUAAUUCUGGCACAAUCUUAUCUAGCUAUAGUUCCUCAUGGUCCUGCACUCCAUGGACUAAAUUAUGAUGAAACUGAAACACAAAAAAUUUAGAUUAACUCUUAGGUGACAAAGCCAGGAUUGAAGCUCAUGCGGUCUGGCUCCAGAACAACUCUUCUUCAUAGUUACGUUAUACUGCCCCUGCAUUGUUGGUAUUGAAAAUAACUGAUACCGUGCUUCCAGAAGAUUUUUCUAACAGUGUUUGCAAGCUAUAAAAUAGUGCUUUCACUUAGAAAAGGCUAGACGUGGUGGUUCAUGCCUGUAAUCCCAGCACUUUGAGAGGCCGAGGCACCAUGCUGGGAGAUAAGGAUCCAACAUAAGACAAACAGUGCUGAUGCUUUUGGAAAGCUCAUAUUCAAGCUGGGGAGACAAACAACAUACAAGUGGCUGUAGCUACCUUCUGCAUAUGGAUAUCCAGUUUUCCCAGCACCACUUAUUAAAGAGACUGUCUUUUCUGCAGUGUAUAUUCUUGGCACCGUUGUUGAAAAUGAAUUCAUUGUAGGUGUGUGGGUUUGUUUCUGGGUUCUCUAUUCUGUUCAACUUGUCUAUGUGUCUGUUUUUAUGCCAGUACCGUGUCAUUUUAGUUACCAGAGCUCUGCAGUAUAAUUUGAAACCAGGUCAUGUGAUUCCUCCAGUUUUGUGGUAUUAGGAUAGGUUUGGCUAUUCUGAGUCUUUUGUGGUUCCAUAUAAAUUUUAGAAUUUUUUUUUUCUAUUUCUGUGAAGAAUGUCAUUGGUAUUUUGAUAGGGAUUGCGUUGAAUCUGUAGAUUGCUUUGGGUAGUAUGGACAUUUUAACAAUAUUCAUUCUUCUAAUCCAUGAACAUGGAAUACCUUUCCAUUUUUUGGUGUCCAUUUCAAUUUCUUUCAUCAGUCUUAUACUUUUCAUUAUAGAGAUCUUUCACUUCUUGGAUUAACUCCUAUGUAUUUAAUUUUACUUGUAGCUAUUGUAAAUGGGAUUACUUUUUUUUUUUUUUUUGACGGAGUUUCACCCUUGGCAUCCAGGCUAGUGUGCAAUGGCGCAACCUCAGCUCACUGCAACCUCCACCUCCCAGGUUCAAGCAAUUCUCCUGCCUCAGCCUCCUGAGUAGCUGGAAUUACAGGUGCCCGCCACCACACCCGGCUAAUUUUUGUAUUUUUAGUAGAGACAGGGUUUCACCACGUUGGUCAGGCUGGUCUUGAACUCCUGACCUCAGAUGAUCUGCCCACCUCGACCUCCCAAAGUGCUGGGAUUACAGGCAUGAGCCACCACUUCCAGCAAGGGAUUACUUUUUUAAUCUCUUUUUCAGAUUUUUCACUGUUGGCAUAUAGAAAUCCUACUAAUUUUUGUAUGUUGAUUUUGUAUCCUGGAACUUUACUGAAUCUGUUUAUAAUUUGUGUAUUUGUUUAUAGUAGUUUUUUGGUGGACUCUUUCAGUUUUUCCAAAUAUAAGAUCAUAUCAUUGGCAAACAAGGACAGUUUGAUUUCUUCUAUUCCAAUUUGGAUGCCUUUAUUUCUUUCUGUUGUCUGAUUGCUCUAGUUAGGACUUCCAGUACUAUGUUGAAUAACAGUGAUGAAAGUGGGCAUCCUUGCCAUGUUCCAGAUCUUAGAAAAGAGGCUUUCAGUUUUUCACCAUUCAGUUUGAUACUAGCUGUGGCAGCUUCCAUGAGAAUCACGCAGUUUGAAGAAGCAUUUCACUGAAAAAUAGGGAUUGCUGUUCUGGAAAGACAAAACAAUUGUCUACAAUUCUAAAGAAGAAGUGAACACAAUAAUUAAAUCAAUGUUAUUCUGGGUCUAAAGCUUAUAUUCUUAAUUACUAUAUUAUCCCAUCUUAAAAUUUUAAUUUGGAAAUUAUAUAUCUAAAUAUUAUAAUCAAUAAAGUUGAACACACAUGAUGAAGUGUGAAAAGAAGUAAAAAACAGAUGUGUGAAAUGAUUCCAUAAUUAUUAAUGUGCUUAUGUUUCAAAGAGUUUUCACAACCCAACAAAACUUACCCUCUCUGGGGCCUUUGUAAAAACAAACAACAACAACAAAAAACUCAUUCUCCAUUCUUCCACCUGCUCCACAAAACAAAAAUGCAUCUUAUUCACCUUAGAAUCCACAGGUACUUGGUAGAGGCUCAAAAAAUGUUUAUUUAGUAAAACCAAAAUGUCUUCCAAAAAAUAACAAUAGUUCUUUUCUUUUUCUUUUCUUUUCUUUUUUCUUUUUUCUUUUUUUUUUGAUACAG